UCAUUACUCCCUCCGUCCAGAAAUACUUGUCCUAAAAAUGAAUACAAUGAAUGUAUCUAUAAUUAAAAUAAGUCUAGAUACAUUCAUCUGUAGGACAAGUAUUUCCGGACGGAGGGAGUACUUC
Hordeum vulgare subsp. vulgare (domesticated barley) is the source of this 124-nucleotide non-coding RNA. The record is from Rfam. NCBI's taxonomy places the organism in Eukaryota, Viridiplantae, Streptophyta, Magnoliopsida, Poales, Poaceae.